Molecule: ribosomal RNA, 440 nt
Filed under: uncultured bacterium
Lineage: Bacteria
Description: partial 16S ribosomal RNA
Rfam family: Bacterial small subunit ribosomal RNA
Source: RNAcentral
CCUACGGGUGGCAGCAGUGGGGAAUAUUCCACAAUGGGGGAAACCCUGACGCAGCGACGCCGCGUGAGCGAUGAAGUAUUUCGGUACGUAAAGCUCUAUCAGCAGGGAAGAAAAUGACGGUACCUGACUAGGAAGCCCCGGCUAACUAUGUGCCAGCAGACGCGGUGAUACGUAGGGGGCAGGCGUUAUCCGGAUUUACGGGGUGGAAAGGGAGCGUAGACGGUCCUGCAAUCCAGAUGGGAAAGCCCGGGGGUCAAACCCGGGACUGCAUUUGGAACUGUAAGGCUAGAGUGUCGGAGAGGCAGGCGGAAUUCCAAGUGUAGCGGUGAAAUGCGUAGAUAUUAGGAGGAACACCAGUGGCGAAGGCGGCCUGCUGGACGAUGACUGACGUUGAGGCUCGAAAGCGUGGGGAGCAAACAGGAUUAGAUACCCGGGUAGUC